Molecule: ribosomal RNA, 301 nt
Filed under: uncultured bacterium
Lineage: Bacteria
Description: bacterial SSU rRNA
Rfam family: Bacterial small subunit ribosomal RNA
Source: RNAcentral
GUGCCAGCAGCCGCGGUAAUACGUAGGGUGCGAGCGUUAAUCGGAAUUACUGGGCGUAAAGCGUGCGCAGGCGGUUUGUUAAGAUAGGCGUGAAAUCCCCGGGCUCAACCUGGGAACUGCGUUUAUGACUGGCAGGCUAGAGUAUGGCAGAGGGGGGUGGGAUUCCACGUGUAGCAGUGAAAUGCGUAGAGAUGUGGAGGAACACCGAUGGCGAAGGGAGUCCCCUGGGUCGAUACUGACGCUCAUGCACGAAAGCGUGGGGAGCAAACAGGAUUAGAUACGCUGGUAGUCCACGCCCUAA